GACGAACGCUGGCGGCGUGCUUAACACAUGCAAGUCGAACGGAAAGGCCCCUUUGGGGGUACUCGAGUGGCGAACGGGUGAGUAACACGUGAGUAACCUGCCCUUGACUUCGGUAUAACUUCAGGAAACUGGGGCUAAUACCGGAUAGGAAUCCUUGCUGCAUGGUGGGGGUUGGAAAGCUUCGGCGGUUUUGGAUGGACUCGCGGCUUAUCAGCUUGUUGGUGGGGUAGUGGCUUACCAAGGCUUUGACGGGUAGCCGGCCUGGGAGGGCGACCGGCCACAUUGGGACUGAGAUACGGCCCAGACUCCUACGGGAGGCAGCAGUGGGGAAUAUUGCACAAUGGGCGGAAGCCUGAUGCAGCAACGCCGCGGGCGGGAUGACGGCCUUCGGGUUGUAAACCGCUUUCAGCAGGGGCGAAGCUUGUGGUGACGGUACCUGCAGAAGAAGCACCGGCUAACUACGUG
This 465-nucleotide ribosomal RNA is filed under the name uncultured bacterium. RNAcentral describes it as "partial 16S ribosomal RNA". It matches the Rfam family "Bacterial small subunit ribosomal RNA", at positions 28 to 507 of the family's 1533-position model. The record is from RNAcentral.